UGAAGAAUUUGUCCAACGGCGGGGGAUAGCCGGCCCAACGGCCGGGUAAUACCGCGUACGACCACAUGGGGACAUCCCUGAGUGGUGAAAGCAGCAAUGCGCCGAUGGAGUGCCUCGCGGCCUAUCAGCUAGUUGGUGAGGUAACGGCUCACCAAGGCAACGACGGGUAGCUGGUCUGAGAGGAUGGCCAGCCACAUUGGGACUGAGACACGGCCCAGACUCCGUAGGGAGG
Molecule: ribosomal RNA, 232 nt
Filed under: uncultured bacterium
Lineage: Bacteria
Description: partial 16S ribosomal RNA
Rfam family: Bacterial small subunit ribosomal RNA
Source: RNAcentral